GUGGGGAAUAUUGCGCAAUGGGCGGAAGCCUGACGCAGCGACGCCGCGUGAGGGAUGACGGCCUUCGGGUUGUAAACCUCUUUCAGCUCUGACGAAGCGAAAGUGACGGUAGGAGCAGAAGAAGCACCGGCCAACUACGUGCCAGCAGCCGCGGUAAUACGUAGGGUGCAAGCGUUGUCCGGAAUUAUUGGGCGUAAAGAGCUCGUAGGCGGUUUGUCGCGUCGAAUGUGAAAACCCGGGGCUCAACUCCGGGCCUGCAUUCGAUACGGGCAGACUAGAGUUCGGUAGGGGAGACUGGAAUUCCUGGUGUAGCGGUGAAAUGCGCAGAUAUCAGGAGGAACACCGGUGGCGAAGGCGGGUCUCUGGGCCGAUACUGACGCUGAGGAGCGAAAGCGUGGGGAGCGAACAGGAUUAGAAACCCUGGUAGUCC
RNAcentral lists this ribosomal RNA (430 nucleotides) under uncultured bacterium. Its description in RNAcentral is "bacterial SSU rRNA". It matches the Rfam family "Bacterial small subunit ribosomal RNA", at positions 354 to 796 of the family's 1533-position model. The record is from RNAcentral.